Molecule: long non-coding RNA, 1528 nt
Filed under: Sus scrofa (pig)
Lineage: Eukaryota; Metazoa; Chordata; Mammalia; Artiodactyla; Suidae
Description: lncRNA (ENSSSCG00015042508.1)
Source: RNAcentral
UUUUUUUUUUUUUUAAUUAUAGUCAACUUACACCGCUGUACUAAUUUCUGCUGUCACAGCCACGGAUUUUUUUUUUGGUCUUUUUAGGGCCACACCCACAGCAUAUGGAGGUUCCCAGGCUAGGGGUCCAAUCGGAGCUGCAGCUACCAGCCUACACGACAGCCACAGCAACACAGGAUCCGAGCUGUGUCUGCGACCUACACGGCAGCUCAUGGCAAUACCGGAUCCCUCACCCAAUGAACAAGGCCAGGGAUGGACACCUCAACCUCAGGGAUACUAGCUGGAUUCGUUAACCACUGAGCCACGAUGGGAACUCCAGGACUUUUUUAUUAGCCAAAGGGAAGAAGUGAAAAUACAGCAAUGUCUGUAACCAAGCAGGACCCUCUGGGGCCUUCCCAGAAUAGACCUCCACCCAUGUCCUCUGUCUUCCCUUGAUCUGCAGAAAAACUUUAGCCAAAGAUUGAACUUUUUGUUUGAUUUGUCCGUUUUUAGAAUUUUUAAUUGCAGUUGAUUUACAAUUUUCUGCCGUUCAGCAAAGUGGCCCAGUCCUACAUAUAUAUCCAUUCUUUUUCUCGCAUUAUCCUCCAUCAUGUUCCAUUACAAGGGAUCAGAUAGAGUUCCUUAGGCAAAGACGACACGUAAGCAGAGAAGUGAGAAAAUGCUGAGAGAAAGGAAAAGCAAGUCAAGGACCUUUAGUUCUUCAAGGUCUAUAGACAGCACUCUGGAGCUCUUGGAGCUGUUCUGCAGAUAACUGAAGCCCCCAUCAGGUAGAAGAAGUCAACUCUAAGCUGCCCACAAGCAGGCAGAGCCCAGACAGGGUGGAACCAGAAGGUGGAGGAUGCUACUCCCAAUGACGUCAUCACCAACCAAUCAGAAGAACGACCGCGAGCUGACCACGCCCUGCUCCCUGAACACUGUACCCUCCUCGCUACCCCUCCAGGGCAAGGCACCGUUUUGCGGGCACCAGCCUGCUGUGGCCCCCUUUGCCUGGCAAAGCAGUCAAGCUCUUCUUUUCUACGUCACCCCAAACUGUCUCCAUGAUUCAAUAGAGGGCCGGUGCACAGAAGCCAAAUUUUGGAGAUGGGGUCACAUCUUGAUACCACAGGAACAGGUUCCAGGACCCCCCACAGAUAACACGGCACAGAAAAUACAAGUUUUGCAAUCCAGAACUUUCUGGAUCUUCCCUCCCCCCUACCCUGUCCCCAACAGAAAGUGUGGAAGCUGUGGACACAGAGGACCAGCUGCAUGCAGUUCUGAUGAAAAACCGUUGUAACCAGGUGACUGUCUAUUCAGGAAAGUUGAAACUCCUUUGUGAAGCAGCAAAAAAAGAAAUUCUCUUCGCAGACCCUGACCCACGAAAUGAAGCCCUCGUGUACCUUUCAUGAAAGGAAAAAAAAAAAAAAGUCUCUAAGAAAAUGCAGUCAAAUAGGGAAUGAAAUAAAAAAUAAAACCCUUAUUUGUGAGGAAGGCAUGUCAUAAAAGAACCAAAGACCAUGAAGUGAGUGCUGAAAACACCUGCACAUUCCGU